AACAUUAAACUUCAAAUCAAAAGAUUUCUAGGUUUGGGGUUUUAUACAUUUAGAGCUUUGAUUCUUGAUUUCUGACUUCUGAUUGUUGUUCUUGGCUUGAUAAGAGGCUAUCAUAUCUUAACUUUUCUAUCUCUCUCACUCUAGAUUUUCGAAAUGGAUGAGAGAGAGUGGCUUGGCAAUAAUGAGAAGUAAAGUAGGAUUUCUCUCUCCUAAAUCUCUUAUAUAUUGAUGUGUGUAAUGUUAUGGCUGGGAUGGCUGCUGAGAUUUGUAGCAAGUGGCUUAUCUAGGGUGGUUGAACAACUCACUAGACCAACUCUUGUAAGCUAAGUCACAAUAAUGCAACAAAGGGCAAAAAUGUCAUUGUGUCUUUAGUUUUAAGGGCAUUUUGGACAUUAGCCAAACCCUUAGGGUUUAAGGUUUAAUUAGGGUUUAGGGUUUGGAAAAUUU
RNAcentral lists this long non-coding RNA (447 nucleotides) under Panax ginseng (ginseng). RNAcentral describes it as "long non-coding RNA (PGIN_LNC012867)". Lineage: Eukaryota; Viridiplantae; Streptophyta; Magnoliopsida; Apiales; Araliaceae. The record is from RNAcentral.